This 6316-nucleotide long non-coding RNA is filed under the name Triticum aestivum (bread wheat). Its description in RNAcentral is "long non-coding RNA (TAES_LNC000770)". Lineage: Eukaryota; Viridiplantae; Streptophyta; Magnoliopsida; Poales; Poaceae. The record is from RNAcentral.
GGGAAAUCCUAGGUCUUGAGGGCAUCGUUUUUGGAGUUUGCUCACACUACAAGAAAUCUGUUAAUACAUGACGGAUUCAAUAUGUCACAGAUAAGCACAAAACUAUCGUGGAGAUCCAUGUGUGACGGAUUUAAAAUCCGUCAUGUAUAUCGCGUCAUAAUUUGAUCAUCAUCCACUCCAUGGCAGACUACGUAAACCGUCAUGGAUCUGUGACGGAUAUCGACCGUCACAAUCACCUAACUGAUAACAGCGUUAACACUCCAGCCACGUCAUCAUCUGACAUGGCCACCAACAUGGAUCAGACGUGGCAGCCCAUGUUAUAAUCAGCCCAGGUAGAAUUUUGGCCCAUGGGUUUUAAUUCCAGCCCAUAUGAUAAUCAGCCCAAUGAUGUUGGUCCACUAGUUUUAGUUCUGGCCCAACUUCUCAACGGCCCCAUUGGAGUUUUGUAGGUUCGGACAUGUCAUUAGCCAGGUAAUUGUAGUCAAUAAAUGUCCAUUAAUUUCGGUCUAUUAGCAGCAUUUUGAGCACCUACAGUACGCUCCUAAAAGUUUUUUAACUACAGAAACCACCCUACCUAAAAAGAUUACAGAAACAAAUAUUUACAACCAAAAACAAAAGCAAAAAAACACAACAAAAAAUAAAUUACAAAGUUCCUAAAUCCCCUCCGUACAGAUUGACAGCGGCAUCUUCCCGUGCCGACCAGUGCUCGCCAGAGGUCCUCCCCAUCGCAGCAACCCUUGUGGCCGGCACGACUCCAGCGUUCUCGAGGACGGCGCUUCGCCCCAUCUUAGCUCGCGUGUGAUGCCCCAGGACCAUGGAGGCCCGGCGGUGCAGACAGAUCUUGUGCAUGUCGGCGCCGUACGAAUUGCCCUGGCAACCUCAACCGCGCACAGGGGACAAAUAUGGCCGGCGACAUAGGGCUCCGUCGUGGUUCAACGGGAAGCCAUCCCAUGGGUGGCGCGGUCCCCGGUCAGGCCUCGAUGGGAGCCACCCCGCUGGCGAUGUAGCCCCCGGUCGGGACUCAACGGGAGGCCAUCCUGCUGGCGUGCCGGCCGCCGUCGCUCCGGAAGUGGAGGCCGUCGCACCUUUUGGCCUUUGGUGACAGCAUGCGCCAUGGCGCAGCUUCCAGGCUGGUGGACGGAGAUGACUAGGCGGCCCACCGCUGAACAAGCAAAGAAUUCGACGGCAUCUUGCGUGGUGGGGAUCCGUUUUGGUCUGGGGAUGGAGGAUGGAAGGUGCUGGGAGAAGGAAGAUGGGGCAGAGGAGUAGGCGAUGGAGAAGUGUCUAGAUGCUCGUGGAAAUUCAGCCGGCGGCUCCACUUGUGGUGGGCAAGAAAGAGUCAGGAUAAGGAACCAGUGUACCACCGUUGGAUUAGAGAAGAUCCGACGGCUGUGAAUGGCGAUCCGCGUGAGGGUGGAGUUAGCCAAUCAGAAGCCACGCUUUUUCUCACAUAGGAAACCCUAGUGGGCUUUGCCAGCACCGAGCAAGACAGCCCAGAUUUUAAAGUAUUCUUCUUUCUAUCUUAUAUACCCUAUCACAAUUUUGGAAGUGAUUUCAUAUUUUCUAUAGUGUAAAUGAAUUGUGGGUUUGUACUGAGAACAAUUCUAAAUUUUAAGUAAAUGUAUCAAAUCAAAUCUAUUUAAAAAAUAUUUAAUGAGAUUACCUUAUAUCUUGAAAAUAGAUUACCUUACAGCUUGUUUGGCUCCCUUCAUUUCAAUUCACUUGUUGAAAUGAAAUGAAUGAAAUGUCUAUCAUGAUUUCAUUUGGUUGAUUCUGGAUUCUAAUUCCAAAUUUCACGUUUUGCAGCCAUUUUGAUAUGUAUUCAUUAACAGACACAAAAAUUAGCACGCAUACAUAUAUCAAGGCAACAGCAACGCGGUGACCUAAAUAGUGCCACUUUUGCAUGUGUUUUGUCCGUUUGGGUGGGCCGAGUGGACAGUCGUGUCCGCCUUUUGGUUUGGGUCGGUUAGUGCGCACAACGCAAGCAACCCAUUUCAAGCGGACAUGGACAUUUCUUUUUUUAAACGACAAGAGCUAUCGGGAGGGGGCUUUUGCGGUCACCGGCCGGGAGGAGCGUCGCUCACCGACCUCCGCCUGCGGGGACGAGCGCCGGCUGGGAGGAGCUCCUAUGAGGGAUGAGCGUCCGGUGGAAAUAACUCCUACGUGGAUGGACGCCAGCAGGGACGAGCGCUUGCAGCCCCCGAGGCGGCAGGGAUGAGUGCCCGUGCGCAACGCGUGCUGGCGGGAACCGGCGCCGACAGGGACAAGCGGCAUGGGUGAGCGUCUUCUAACUCCGCAUUGGUAGGGACGAGCGGCAGGGACAAGCUCCUGCGCGCCGCGACGAAGCGCGCCGGCGGGGAUGAACCAUGCAGGAGGGGCAACAAAUUGCAGAUGUCGGUGCUGCCGGCCUUGCCGCUUGAGGCGCUCGCGGCAGCCGUGGUCUCUGCGCGCCACCGCUGCUGUGGUCAUCGUGUCGCCAGCAUGGAGGGAACACCGCCACCGCGCGAACACUGACAGACACAAGUGGACCAAAUGGUCGCUGCUUUGGAGUUGCCCUCAAAUCUUUAUUGUUCAUGUGUACAACAAUAUUGUGCACUCAACCAUGUUGAUCCACACUACAGUUAGGGACAACUCAAUCUUGACAUAAUGAACCACAAAACAUUUUAUUGAAGUUGGAAAGCACUAAAUAUAGUAUCUGUUGUAACUCUAUUAUAUUUGAAAGUGUUAUUUAGUUAUUUAUCUUAAAUAUGUUUCAUAUAACUUGAGGCAAACAUUGAAGUUAUAAAAAAAUUACAAUCAUCUUAAUGUUUUUCUUGUUUUUUAAAAUAAAUUUGAUGUGGUAUUAAAUGAAUUUCUAGCUAUAUUCUUUAAGUUCCUAACCCAAGCUCACGUUGAACAAUUUCUCUGCAUUAUAUUAACUUUUUGUUGUCACGUGAACAUUUUUUCUACAUUACAUUAAUAGAUUUUUUAAAUGUUACGGACAUAUGAACAUUCUUUAAAUUUCACGCACAUUUUUUAAACGGUGCGACGUAUUGUUUUGAAUUUCAUAAAAAAAUCUUACAUUUUAUAGAAAUUCAUUAAAAGUGGUAUGCACAUUGUUUUGGAAUGCUUGAACAUCUUCUUAAAAUGUUACAACAUUUUCUGAAUUACACGAUUACUCUUUACAUUAUAGAAACCCUUUCAAAAUGACAUGAUUAAUUGUUGAAACACAUGAACAUAUUUGAAAUUUCACAACCAUUUUUUCAAUGCUAUAAACUAUUUUAAAAGUUGUGUGGAAAAUUUACUUAAAUCGUCUUAACAGUUUUGAAUGUGCGGUGAAGGUUUCAAAAAAUGUGAAGAACCUAAUUCUUGAAUAGAUGUGUUUAGAAUAUUUGAAGUAUAUGUGUUUAGAAUAUUUUGAAGUAUAGGAAAAUACAAAGAAAAUGAACAAAAGUACGUCCUUACGUGUGCGUGGUCGGGUGGUAUAGAGUUUUAACCGGUCGUCCUCACUACUAAGUGUGAUUGGGAAAAUUGGGAACUUUACACAUGGAAUUUGAACUAAUGGUACACAAAUCAUUUUAUCUAUGUUGGAAUGGUACAAAAUAGUUUAUGAAUUUAUAAUUUUGUACAUUGUAUAAAUAUUUUAAAAAAUGUCACAUACAUUUGUUUAAAACGCAGAAACAUUUUUUAAAUGUCAUGAACAUUGUUUUUGAAUGCUAUCAACAUUUUUUCAAAGUUGCAAGAACACUAUUUUCACACCGCGUCAAAAAAAAUUAGCACACAGUGAACAUUUUUCUAAAUGAAAUAAAUGUUCUUUAAGUUGUUAAUAAUAUUUCAAAAUAUGCACAAAAAAGGAGCAAUAGAAAAAGGAGUAGAGACUAGCAUGCCUACUUGCGCAGUGUGUGUCUGUCCCAUUUAAGUAGCGAGAGAGGCAACGCUACACCUAGGUCCCCAUCUUUUGUGCUUUAAUAAUUAAAUUUUAUACUGUGGGUAAAGUACUAAAAGUGAAAAGGCCCAUGUACGUUGAGAGUUUGGUUUAAAAAGAAAUGAACAAAAGUANNNNNNNNNNNNNNNNNNNNNNNNNNNNNNNNNNNNNNNNNNNNNNNNNNNNNNNNNNNNNNNNNNNNNNNNNNNNNNNNNNNNNNNNNNNNNNNNNNNNNNNNNNNNNNNNNNNNNNNNNNNNNNNNNNNNNNNNNNNNNNNNNNNNNNNNNNNNNNNNNNNNNNNNNNNNNNNNNNNNNNNNNNNNNNNNNNNNNNNNNNNNNNNNNNNNNNNNNNNNNNNNNNNNNNNNNNNNNNNNNNNNNNNNNNNNNNNNNNNNNNNNNNNNNNNNNNNNNNNNNNNNNNNNAAUAUAACAUUUAUUGUAACUGUAGUAUACUUUAGUUAUGGUUUUCCUAAUUUUAAUCUAUUUUGGCAUAAUGUAUUUUAAAAAUUAUUUUACGGGUUUAAGUUAAAUGAAUAAAUAUCUGUUACUUACUAGCUGCCUAGCAAUAUAAUUAGUGAUGUGCGGCUAUGGGGCACACACAUUAGCAACAUAAUUUUGAAACAGAUGAACUUACAAAAAACACCAACUGUAUUUUUUUGAAUGGUAUGAAAUACUUUUUGAAUAGUACAUAAUAUUUUUUGAAUGGUAUGAAAUUUCAAAUACUAUGUUUGAAACGUGGAAUAUUUUUAAAAUGCCAUGAACUUUUUUGAAUGCCAUCAAGAUUUUGUAAAAGUUGUGCAAACAUUUUUUAACAAUGCGUUAACAUGUUUUGAAUGCACGUUGAACAUUUUUAUAAACGUAAUUAAAUUAUUUUUAUUUUUAAUAUUUAAAAAUAAGAAAGAAAAAUAGAAUAGGAGAAAUAAAAAAUGAACGGAAACUAGCGGGCGUGCGUAGUGUGUGGCUGGCCCAUUUAAGUAGCGCCAGAGGCGAUGCUACCCCACUGCUGCCCCAUUUUUCGCGCUAUAUUUUUCUUAUAUAUUGUACUGUAUGUACUAGUGGGGUUAAGACGUGCUCAUGUUCAAAGUAAGUAUUGUAACCCAGUGCUAAGCUUCUAGCUCUUAAAGCAAGAGGUCCUAGGAUUGAAUCCUAGUUUUCUCUCUUUUUGAAUAAAUUCCAGAACUAGUUUGGGAUGUGCUAUAAUCCCAUCUAUAAUCACGUGUUGUAUCCUAAUAGCUAGUGUGAGGUUUGUGGUCCGCAAAUGUUCCUUUUUAUUCAUAUAUAUAAUAUGACUCCACUGAUUGACAUGUGGGCAAAAUGAGGAGCAGACCUGACAUGUCAGCUUGAUCCAUCCAUGACGGACGGGAUAAUGUAUAUAUUUAGCUAGGCCCAGCUGGUUGAUUUGUGAUGGUAUUCGUGACAGUCUAUCGACGUCCGUCAUAACGGCUUCAUCCGUACGAGGUGCAUUCUCAUCUUACUAAUCCAUGACGGUUUUCAUGACGAACCAAAGAAAAGCGUCAUCAAUAAUGAUAGUUUUUGAGAACGUGACCAGAAAUCCAUCAUGAAUUAACAGGUUUCCUAUGUGAGAAAAAUCGUGGCUUCUGAUUGGCUAACUCCACCCUCACGCGGAUCGCCAUUCACAGCCGUCGAAUCUUCUCUAAUCCAACGGUGGUACACUGGUUCCUUAUCCUGACUCUUUUUUGCCCACCACAAGUGGAGCCGCCGGCUGAAUUUCCACGAGCAUCUAGACACUUCUCCAUCGCCUACUCCUCUGCCCCAUCUUCCUUCUCCCAGCACCUUCCAUCCUCCAUCCUCAGACCAAAACGGAUCCCCACCACGCAAGAUGCCGUCGAAUUCUUUGCUUGUGCAGCGGUGGGCCGCCUAGUCAUCUCCGUCCAUCGGCCUGGAAGCUGCGCCAUGGCGGAUGCUGUCACCAAAGGCCAAAAGGUGCGACGGCCUCCACUUCCGGAGCGACGGCGGCCGGCGCGCCAACAGGAUGGCCUCCCGUUGGGAUGGCCUCGACACCGGGGGCUACAUCGCCAGCGGGGUGGCUUCCCAUCGAGGCCUGACCGGGGACCGCGUCACCUGUGGGAUGGCUUCCCGUUGAACCACGACGGAGCCCUAUGUUGCCGGCCAUAUUUGUCCCCCGUGCGCGGUUGAGGUCGUCAGGGCAAUUCGUACGGCGCCGACAUGCACAAGAUCUGUCUGCACCGCCGGGCGUCCAUGGUCCUGGGGCAUCACAUGCGAGCUAAGAUGGGGCGAAGCGCCGUCCUCGAGAACGCUGGAGUCGUGCCGACCACAAGGGUUGCUGCGAUGGGGAGGACCUCUGGCGAGCACUGGUCGGCACGGGAAGAUGCCGCUGUCAAUCUGUACGGAGGGGAUUUAGGAACUUUGUAAUUUAUUUUUUGUUGUGUUU